AAAUUGACGAUGAAAUUAAAGGGUACAAUGAAGGCACAACUUCCACUAAAGAUGGAGCUUCGACGGAGAGCAGAGUAGUUAAUGCAAAAGAGAACAUCAAUGGGUCACGUUUUAAUGUACUUACUAACGAUAAUGAUGAUACCACUAUUGAGGAGACAAUUGAUGUCCAUGAUCUUAAUGUCAAUCAACAUGCAAUAACAAGCACAAACGAGGGAGCAAAAAUGCUAAAUUCAAAUAGUGAAAUGUUAGAUCAACAUGUAGAAGAAAUAGAAG
Molecule: long non-coding RNA, 273 nt
Filed under: Lathyrus oleraceus (garden pea)
Lineage: Eukaryota; Viridiplantae; Streptophyta; Magnoliopsida; Fabales; Fabaceae
Description: Pisum sativum (pea) long non-coding RNA (PSAT_LNC000715)
Source: RNAcentral